GCUUACGGCCACACCACCCUGAGCGCGCCCGAUCUCGUCUGAUCUCGGAAGCUAAGCAGGGUCGGGCCUGGUUAGUACUUGGAUGGGAGACCGCCUGGGAAUACCAGGGUGCCGUAAGCU
RNAcentral lists this ribosomal RNA (120 nucleotides) under Lates calcarifer (barramundi perch). The record is from RNAcentral. Lineage: Eukaryota; Metazoa; Chordata; Actinopteri; Centropomidae.